Molecule: non-coding RNA, 75 nt
Organism: Podarcis lilfordi (Lilford's wall lizard)
Lineage: Eukaryota; Metazoa; Chordata; Lepidosauria; Squamata; Lacertidae
Source: the annotation of a GenBank genome assembly
GAUAGCUUAGUUGGUUAGAGCAUGGUGUCGUUAACACCAAGGUUGCAGGUUCAAUUCCCAUAUGGGAUAGCUACA